This is a regulatory RNA element of Klebsiella sp. RIT-PI-d, 57 nucleotides long. It matches the Rfam family "ClpQY promoter". NCBI's taxonomy places the organism in Bacteria, Pseudomonadati, Pseudomonadota, Gammaproteobacteria, Enterobacterales, Enterobacteriaceae. The record is from Rfam.
CCCCGCAAAUACUGCGGGGCGCCUAUUCCGCUUUUGCACCCAGGGGGGCAUCUCGUG